Molecule: transfer RNA, 63 nt
Filed under: Kupeselasia minuta
Lineage: Eukaryota; Metazoa; Arthropoda; Insecta; Coleoptera; Elateridae
Description: tRNA-Glu
Source: RNAcentral
AAUUUAUAUAGUUUAACAAAAACAUUACAUUUUCAUUGUAAAAUUAAAUUUAAUUUAUAAAUA